AUGCGAGUCGAGAGUCUUAGGGACUCGGCGUACCGCUCAGUAACACGUGGGUAACCUGCCCUAUGCUGGGGAAUAACCUCGGGAAACUGAGAAUAAUACCCCAUAGCCCACCAUGCCUGGAACGGUUGGUGGAUCAAAGCUCCGGCGGCAUAGGAUGGGCCUGCGGCGUAUCAGGUUGUAGGGGGUGUAACGUACCCUCUAGCCAUCAACGCGUACGGGUGUUGGAAGACAUAGCCCGGAGAUGGAUUCUGAGACACGAAUCCAGACCCUACGGGGUGCAGCAGGCGCGAAAACUUGGCAAUGCNAGAAAUCGUGACCAGGGAACUCCAAGUGUCUGGGGUAAGACCCAGUCUUUUCAUGACUCUUCAAAGGUCUUGGAAUAAGAGGUGGGUAAGGACGGUGCCAGCCGCCGCGGUAAUACCGGCGCCUCANGUGGUAGUCNAUUUUAUUGGGCCUAAAACGUCCGUAGCCUGUUUGGUACAUUCNUGGGUAAAUCAACCANCUUAACUGAUUGAAUUCUGCGAGCACGGCCAGACUUGNGACCGGGAGAGGUGUGG
RNAcentral lists this ribosomal RNA (557 nucleotides) under uncultured archaeon. Its description in RNAcentral is "bacterial SSU rRNA". It matches the Rfam family "Archaeal small subunit ribosomal RNA", at positions 51 to 613 of the family's 1478-position model. The record is from RNAcentral.